GUGCCAGCAGCCGCGGUAAAACGCAGGCCACAAGCGUUGUCCCGGAAUUACUGGGUGUAAAGGGAGCGCAGGCGGGAAGACAAGUUGGGAGUGAAAAUCUAUGGGCUCAACCCAUAAACUGCUUUCAAAACUGUUUUUCUUGAGUAGUGCAGAGGUAGGCGGAAUUCCCGGUGUAGCGGUGGAAUGCGUAGAUAUCGGGAGGAACACCAGUGGCGAAGGCGGCCUACUGGGCACCAACUGACGCUGAGGCUCGAAAGUGUGGGUAGCAAACAGGAUUAGAUACCCUGGUAGUCC
RNAcentral lists this ribosomal RNA (294 nucleotides) under uncultured microorganism. RNAcentral's name for it is "partial 16S ribosomal RNA". It matches the Rfam family "Bacterial small subunit ribosomal RNA", at positions 505 to 796 of the family's 1533-position model. The record is from RNAcentral.